CUAUAAAAGAUGUAACAGAUGCAAACUGUAAAACAAGGACAAUUAACCCUUGCUCUUCUGAACAAAAUCCACCCUAGCCUCAGCAUCUAUUGUCUACUCCUCUGCUAUAAAGCUUUACACAAAACCGAGAA
Molecule: unclassified non-coding RNA, 131 nt
Organism: Chelonoidis abingdonii (Abingdon island giant tortoise)
Lineage: Eukaryota; Metazoa; Chordata; Testudines; Testudinidae
Source: Ensembl